GUGAACGCUGGCGGUAGGCCUAACACAUGCAAGUCGCACGGCAGCACAGUAAGAGCUUGCUCUUACGGGUGGCGAGUGGCGGACGGGUGAGGAAUACAUCGGAAUCUACUUUUUCGUGGGGGAUAACGUAGGGAAACUUACGCUAAUACCGCAUACGACCUACGGGUGAAAGCAGGGGAUCUUCGGACCUUGCGCGAUUGAAUGAGCCGAUGUCGGAUUAGCUAGUUGGCGGGGUAAAGGCCCACCAAGGCGACGAUCCGUAGCUGGUCUGAGAGGAUGAUCAGCCACACUGGAACUGAGACACGGUCCAGACUCCUACGGGAGGCAGCAGUGGGGAAUAUUGGACAAUGGGCGCAAGCCUGAUCCAGCCAUACCGCGUGGGUGAAGAAGGCCUUCGGGUUGUAAAGCCCUUUUGUUGGGAAAGAAAAGCAGCAGGUUAAUACCCCGCUGUUCUGACGGUACCCAAAGAAUCAGCACCGGCUAACUUCGUG
RNAcentral lists this ribosomal RNA (491 nucleotides) under uncultured bacterium. RNAcentral's name for it is "partial 16S ribosomal RNA". It matches the Rfam family "Bacterial small subunit ribosomal RNA", at positions 29 to 507 of the family's 1533-position model. The record is from RNAcentral.